RNAcentral lists this long non-coding RNA (22207 nucleotides) under Solanum tuberosum (potato). Its description in RNAcentral is "long non-coding RNA (STUB_LNC002805)". The record is from RNAcentral. Lineage: Eukaryota; Viridiplantae; Streptophyta; Magnoliopsida; Solanales; Solanaceae.
GACUGAGAACCUGCUCCUCUUGAAUUUCCAUUAUUGUAGUUCCCUUUCCUUCUUUGCUUCCAAUCUGUAGGAUAACCUAUCAGUUUAUAACAAUUCUCACUAGUGUGUCCAGUGAAAUGGCAAUAGUCACACUUCUUUCCUUUGUAGUUCUGAUUUCCAUAGCUGAUUUCUGCAUUUCUAUUCACCUGCAUUGCAAUUGGAUUAACCUUUUCACCCACACCAGUCAUACAGGCCAAAUGUUGGAUCUCAUCUUCUACUAUCAUUGCAUAUGCCUAAUUUAUAGUAGGUGUAACUCCUUUCAAUAGGAUUUGUCUUCUAGCUUGAUCAUAUGAAUCAUUCAAGCCACUCAAAAACUGAAUUAGUCUAAGCUCGUAUAGGUGAUCUGUAUAGUCCUUCGACUUUGGGCAGAUACAAGUUGGAGCUGGUACCACAGCAUCAUAUUCACUCCAUAGAUUCUUCAGCUUAGUAAAAUAAUUCGACACUGAAUCAGUUCCUUGUAUGAGUGAAUUGAUUUCUCUAUGUAGCUGAUAAAGUCUCAUGCGAUUCACCUUAUCAAAUCUCUCCUUCAGGUCCUUCCAUACGUCAUAUGCACUUGUUGCAUAUACAAUUCCACUCAACAAUUCCUCAUUAACAGAGCUCAUCAGCCAUGACAAGACAAUUGCAUUACAAGUUUCCCAUUGCUCAUGCAAUUCAUCCCUGGUGAAAUUCAUCCCUGUACAAUUCUCUACUACAGGCUCUAGUCACAAAUCCAAAUUUCCUUUUCCCUAACAACGCGAUUCUCAUUGAUCGACUCCAAACUCCAUAGUUUUCUGAUCCAAUUAGCUUGACAGGAAUCAAUGCAGCACCAGAUGCAUCAUUUUGAAAGACAUAUUACAAAACAUUACUUUUAAGUUUUUACAAAAUAUUAAAGCAUAAUAUUGAAUUCUCUCCUUAUUUAAGAAAAAACAUAAGUAUGUAUUAAUGUCGCACGAAAAUUUCUGCUAGAAAAAUUUAUCUCUUCGGGUUCCCCAUAAUCAACAUUUAUUAUAUUUAUUAAUGUUAUUAGUCCCUCCGUUUCACAAAGAAUGACCUCAUUUCCUUUUUAGUCAGUUUCAAAAAAAUGACCUCUUUCCUUUUUUGGUAACAUUUUACUUUUUGCUUUCCACGUGGCAUGUUUAAGACCACAAGAUUAAGGGCAAUUUUGUACAUUUGACAUAACUUUAAUUUAGGACCACAAGAUUCAAAAGUCUUCUUUAAUUUCUUAAACUUCGUGCCAAGUCAAACCAAACCAAUCUUUUUGAAACGGAGGGAGUAGUAUUCAUUAGUUUUGCACGUAUUUUUUUUCUCCAGAAAAUUCAUUUCAAUAAUCCCCUUUCCUUCCCAAUAAUUAAUAGUAAUUAUUAAUAGGUUUUAAAUGUUGCACCUCUUCAAAUUCUAGCACUCAAUAAAAUGAUAGAAGUUUAGAAACAAAGCUCCAUCAACUUCUCCACUAUGCUAGGUGAAAAACUCAUAAUGCUACAUUUCGUCAGGUAAUAUAAAUUACUAUUAUUUUUAUUGGAUGAAUAAUAGAUAAUUGUAUUGACAAAUUCUUUUAUGUGAAUCAAAGUAAUGUGAUUUACUUAUUCGUGGUUAUAGUAAAAAAUAAAUCACACUAUCAGAAAAGUGUGAAUUACAUGUGAAUUUUCCUGGAGAUUAGUAUGAAAAUCUGUAGGAAACUUAUUUUCCUGCAAAUUUUCAUACUAAUUCCCAGGAAAAUCCUCAUGUAAUUCGCACUUUUCUUGUAGUACCAGUGAAGUGCCAUGAAAACUUGACAAGACAAUUACUUUAAAGUAAGUUUCUCCUUAGUUCAUACUAUAUUUGUAUAUUAUAUCAUUUUCUUAUAAUAACUAUAUAUCUUUUUUUUAAUUUGCUUAGUAUCAUUUUUGUUGUACACGAGUUUGUUUCAUUAAUUGUAGAAAGUGAAAAAAAAAAUGUGUCAACUGGCUACAACAACUAUUCAAAGUAUAAAGGAGAUAUUAAAUCAAAGGUCAUCACUACAUGAAUUAGUUCUGACUACAUUUUUCUUUUCCUCAUUUUUUUUUUGCCAUUCUCCUAAUUUUUUAAAUCUGUUUGAGUUCUGACUACAUUUUUCUUUUCCUCAUUUUUUUUUGCCAUUCUCCUAAUUUUUUAAAUCUGUUUUAAUUAUUAAAACAUAAAAAAAAUAAUCAAAAGUCAAUACUUAAAAUAUUUCUCUUCAAUAUACGUACGUUACUUAUUUUUUUUCAAUUAAUCAUUGUUAACUAUCACUUAUUGUAUUAAAGUCUCUUUAAUUUGUUAGUACUUAUCAUUUUAAUUUAAAAGUCUAAAUUUAACUAAAUAAUUUGUCAAUUAUUUAGGGAAAGACAAUUACUAUAGAAGACAAGGAAAGAUGAAAGAGUUUAGAUUUCAAAUAGGUGAUGAAUUUUUUUUUACAAAUUUUCUUUUUGAUUAUUUAAAAAUAGAGUGCAAUCUUUGACUAGCAACAAGAACUAGGGAACAAGAAAAUAAUAAAAUAAAAUAAAUAAAAAUAGGAAGGAUUGAAGGAACUAAUGAUCCGGAAAAACAAAAAAAUGAAGUAGGAUAAGAGGGUAAGAAAACGAGAUAAGAAGAAAAUGAUAAAAAAAAAUCGAGAGAAUAACUUUUUUUCCAAACUAGAGCUUAUUAUAAUUAAGGUAUGAACAAUUGAAGGGAUAUUAGAUACUGGGAAUAGGAAAAAAUGAAAAACAAAAAAAUUAAGAAACUAUAUUAAAUAUACAUUUCAUUUCUACUUAUUUCUACCUUUACUUUUCAUUUCAUGCUUACUUUAUUUUAUUAGAAAGAAAAAAAUUAAUAUAUAUUAUUGAUUUUGUAAGGAUAUGCAUGAAAAAAAAUGUUAUUACCUCGAUUAUAUUUAAAUGAAUUUAUUUUUAAAUUUUUAAAUAAUUUUAUGACCGCGCGAAGUGCGGAAAUGUUGACUAGUAAUUUAAUAAAGUAAAUGAAAGAGGUGACAAAGUAUUUAAUCUAUAAAAUAUUAUUGGGUCUUGCUUUUGAAAACAAAUGAACUUGAGUCAAUACAUACACUUUAGAGAAAAAAUCUUUUUUGUAAAAUUAAUUUAAACUUUGUUUAUACUCUAAACAAUCUGCAUUUUGAAGUUCAAAAAACAUAGAGGUUGCAUUCUUGCCCAAAAAAUAUGCAUUUUUACACUACAAAUCUGCACCUUUUAAACUUUUUAAAGCAAUACUUUUACACUCAAAAAACUAAUCUGCACUUCUGAAGUAGUUAUAGCUGAAAGCAAUACGGUUUCGAAGCUGACAUUUUUUGGGCAUAACAUAUCAAAAGGGACCUUCCCCAAAAAUACAGAUCAAAAUGUACGCUUCGUCCAAAAAUUGGUGGACUCUCUUCCCACCGUUAACGUCCGUUUCUUCGAAUGUAAAAUUAAUAUAUAUAUAUAUAUUCAUAUAUUCAAUGAUUUCGCCCAAAGAUGGGGAACUACAUUUUUUUUAUUAACUUUUUAUAUAAUUUCACGUGAAUAGAAUCUUCAUUUGCUGAUUAUUAUUUUUUCAGAUCCUUAGCUUGAACGUAAGUUUUGUCAUGUCUAGUUUGAUACAAGGAAUCCUGAGUUUCUUAAAGAUUAAUAGUACAAAAAGAUAACUAUUGGGUACUUUUUUCAUGAAAAUGUAUUUAUUUACUUACGAUCAAUAGUAAAAAAACUAUUGAGGCCGACAAGGACAAUGAUUUCUUUUAUGAUCGAAUUUUCCUAAACAAACUAUAUCUUUGUGUCAUGCAGCCUGGAGCACUGCUUAUUUUCAUUUUUGUGAUACCUAGUACCGUUAACUCCAAAAAUUCUUAGAUAUUGAGUAUUUGUAAUUAAAUUGAAUGGAGAAGGUAUAUAGACCAAUUAUAUGUCAUCGCCCAGUGAAAAAAGUGCUAUAUCUUUAUAAAUUUGCUUGUAAUCCUUUGAACUAUAAUACUUGCUGAUAACGUAGGUCUUUAGCUCAAUAAACACAUAUCACAAAAUUUUAUGGCACGUGGACAUAUAAAUAGAGAUGACAAGAUCGUUGAAUUUUUUAGAAGUCAUGUCAUCUUUUGUCUAAUAUCAUAAGGUUUAAAGACGAUCCGUUAUUGUCUAUGGGUAUAAUUGGAGAACAUUUAAGAACAGCUUCAACUGCAUUUUGACAAACCUCCCACAUAUUGGAUUAACACAAGCCUCGUAGAGCAAUGACCUAAAUAUUCCUGCAACCAUAACAUUGCAAAGAACAAAAUCAGUAAACACAUUUAAGGAGUCGUUUGGUGUGAGCUAGGUAGUAUAAAAAUCUCAGUAAUAAAAUGGAUCCUGCAUUUAGUUGGAGAUAUUAGGCAAUCCUGAGAUUAUUUAUCCCACUACUUGUAUCUUAGUGACGGAAUAAGUUAUCACUCAUACAUGGUGAAAUAAUUUAUUACAGAAUAACUUAUCACGAGAUAAUUAAUCCCAAAAUAAUUUAGCAUGUUGUAUGCAUGAAAAGACUUGAAUACAAAAUUGGGUUGGAGAUUUUUACUUCCAUUAAAACUUUUACUCAGUCGUGUUAUACUUACUCAAAACUUUUAGUAAAAUUAAAAAAAUUAUUUUUUUUAUAAAUAAAAAAUAUAGCUAAUAGCAAGUCACCAACUUUUAAUUCUUUAAAUCAUCCCAUUCAUAUAGCUUCUUUUUAUUUCUAGAUUUUUAGUAGAAUAUUUAAAUCAUCAUAUUAAUAUUAUCUAUGAGUUAUAUUGACUAUUUUUUUUAAUAUUUAAUUAAUUAAAAACACAAACUUUAACUAAAAUGGGGAGUAAAUUAAUUAUUUAUGGUUAUUACGUGAAACUAGCUUUAGUACUUUACUAGAGGCGCAGUGGUUUUUGUCUAAAUUAGAAUGCAGCAGUAUGUUUCCAUCUGGUUUUCCAUAUUCCUGGAAUAGGGGACCUGUACCCACCAUCAAGUCCGGAUUUUUCCAUGUAAAAUUAAGGGUAUGCAUCGGGUGUAUAUAAUAGCAAAUUAUUAAUUCAAAUUAAAUGCUAUAAAUAGAUUUUGAUUUAAUUGUAUCCUAUAGCAAACUAUUGCUAUUUUCGCCACUCUCCCUGGUGGAAUCUCGCUCGCCACUCUCGUUUGGUGGCAGUUUCGCUCGCCUCUCUCGCUUUUAUACACAAACACAAAUGUAUAAAAUGUGUUUGUGUUUGUAUAAAGCGAGAUGACAUUAUAUAUAUACAUAUUUUUUCGUUCCCCUUUCUCCCCUCUCCCAGAUCUCGCUCGCCACCCUCGCCUCUCUCACUUAUACAAACAGAAACGAAAUGUAUAAAUUGCGAUUCUGUUUGUAUAAAGCGGGAGAAAAUUGUAUAUACACAUGCAAAUACGUAUAUCUUCAUCCUAUACACUUAGAAUUAUACAAUACAAAUAUUUUCAUACCCAGUUUUCUUUUGCCUUUCUCUCUUUCUCGUUUUAUACAUACACAGAUUAUACAAUUGAUCUUUUGUUAUACAACUGCUUUCUUUUUGUAUAUGUAUAGCGAAUUAUACAACUGUCUUCUUUGUAUAUGUAUAGUGAAUUAUACAACUGUUUUUUGUAUAUGUAUAGCGAAUUAUACAUAUAUAUGUUUGCUAUGGAGCUCAAUUAUGCAAACUUUGCUAUAGCAUACAAAUAUGAAUUUUGCGUUUGCUAUAUGUGAAAGUUGCUCUUAUUUUUAUUAGUUCGAUUUAUUAAUUAACUUUUAAUUAUGCUAAAUCAAUAAUUAAAUUAAUAGGAUAUCUCUUAUUGAUUUUCGAUUUAUUAGUUAUGGAUGCUUAAUGAUUUGAUUUCUAAUUUAACCAAUAAAAAAAGAUACUCAUAAAAUAAAUAUAUAAAUUCUCUAAUAAUUUAAUAUGACAUGACAAUAUAAUAUAACUUUACGCAAUACUUAUAAAAUAGAGUUGUGGCUGUCAAUGCUAACAUAAACAUGAUUCUAAUGAAGUCCAACCCUUAAAAGUAGCAUAUAGGGGAGGAAUAUGAAAAGCAAAUAGUAUACAAGUGAAGUAUCAGAGAGAGGUAGAAUCACCACAUAUCAUGGAGGAGGUAGGCCCCAAAAGUUUGAGAUGGCUCCUGGUUUUCGGGAACAAAACUGGUUUGUUUUCACGACUGUGGGCGGGCUCAAUCUGUGGAUUACUGGCGUCGUUACUCACUCCCAUAAGCUAGGAGUAAUUCUUACGAGUCAUUUGGUAGAGUGUAUUAGUAAAAAUAAUGUAUGCAUUAAUUUUGUAUAUUAGUAGUUCCUUGUUUGGUCCUCCAUGUUGAGUUAAUUCUACUGUUGAGUUAAUUAUUCUAACUUUAUUAAUUAAUGUCAUGCAAAGAGACAAAUGCAAAAUACGUUUCAAAGGUGAAGAUACAUCCGUUCCAAACAAAAGUGAUGUAAUGGCCUUUAAUGCCAUUAGCCUUGACAAUAUGUUUCUAAAAUUAAACUCUCUUACUUGCAACUCCUUUUCUUGCAAAUCAUAUAUAAGAAGAGGCUUUGGUGAACAUAACACAACAUUACCAACAUAAACAAAAAGAAGAGAAAAACUUCUUCUUCCUUUCUCCUUAUUCUUAGAAUAUUGUUGGGCAAUUGGUUUUGAGCAACCUCCAAACUCUCAACCACGAGUGCAUGUGUCUGAGAGUAACUGUGGAACCUUGGGGAGCGAUCGGCUACAACGAUUUGCACCGGAGUUGAGCCGAAAUCACUUUCAAGGCAGUGGCUUGCCACAACACAGUGUUUGUGAUAAGUUAUUUACUACUUUAUAAUUCCAAUCAAAUAUCAAUAUUAUAGUAUUUUUCCCAACAAUUUGAAAGCGAUUUACUAACAUACAAUAUUGAUAAAUGGCUAUUUCUUUGAACAAAUUUUUUUUUGAUUUGUCAAAAUUUGAGCCUUUGGAUGGAAGUAAUUUUAAACGAUGAUCACAAAUUUUUUUAAUUUUCUUUGAACAAUUAGAAGUUGAUUAUGUUUUAUUUAAAGAACCUUCUAUGAAUGGUUCUAACACCACUAUUGAUUCUAGCAAUGUUAUGGUUGUUGAUGAUGUUGUUAAAAAGAAGUUUGAAAAGGAUAACAAAAUUGUGAGAGGACAUUUGUUAAAUCAUAUGAAAAAUUCUUUAUUUGAUUUAUUUUUAACCUAUAAAUCUACCAAAGAAAUAUGGGAUAGUUUGAAAAAGAAAUAUGGUACUGAUGAUGCAGGAAAGAAAAAAUAUAUUGUCGGUCAGUGGAUUAAAUUCCAAAUGGUUGAUAAUAAGUCAAUAAUGAAACAAGUUCACUAAUAUGAGAACUUGACUGCUGAUGUUUUCAACGAGGACAUGAAGAUGUGUGAGAUAUUUCUGCUUGAAAAAUUCCCACCAUCUUGGAGUGAUUAUAGAAAUCAAUUAAAACAUAAGAAAAAGAAUUUAACUCUCCAAGAACUUAUUCGUCACAUGAGGACUGAAGAGGCGAACCGUCUCAAAGAUAAGAUGGAAGAAUUUUUCUCUUAAUUCUUCUAAAGCUAAUCUUGUUGAAUCUUCUGGUACUAUUGUGAAAGACAGGUUUAAAGGCAGACAGAAGAAAGUCUCGAAAAAGGAACAUAUGAAGAAGAAAAAUCAAUUCAACAAGCCGGAGAGCCAAAUUCAAAAAUUUAAGAGUCCUUGUUUUGCUUGUGGAAAAGUUAGUCACAGGGUUGCCAAGUGCUAUCAAAGAAAGAGGCAGGACUCAAAGUAGGAAGGACAAAAUGAUGUCCAACCUCGUCUUGCUGAGGGUAAUGAAGUGAUUGUUGUUGUAGUCGUUGAGGCAAAUCUGGUGGCUAACAAAACUGACUGCUUGCUGAGGGUAAUGAAGUGAUUGUUGUUGUAGUCGUUGACGCAAAUCUAGUGGCUAACAAAAUUGACUGGGUGCUAGACACAAGCGCUUCAAGGCAUUUUUGGCCAAUAAGAAUUUAUUUUAUGACUUUGAGGAGUCCAUUGAUGGCGAGUGUGUAUAUAUGGGUAACUCUACUACUGAUGUAGUAAUGGGUAAUGAAAAAGAUUUACUUAAAUUAACUUCCCUUGAACAAUGUUUUGUAUGUUCCCUCCCUCCGUAGAAACUUAGUUUCCGGAGCACCUCUCAACAAAGUAGGCCUUAAACUUGUUUUGAAGCUGAUAAAAUGAUUAUUUCUCGUGGAGGAGACUCCGUUGGGAAGGGAUAUCUUAGUGGGGGAUUAUUUGUAUUGAACAUUGUUCAAGAGAUUGUCAAUAACGCAAGUAUUUCAAAUUCUGCUUAUAUUAUCGAGUUUAUUAAUUUAUGGCAUGGUAGACUAGGUCAUGUUAAUAUUGCAUCUAUUAAAAGACUUAGAAAAAUGGAAUUAAUUCCUAUGAUAAAAACUGAUGAGUUUUCUAAAUGUCUUGUGUGUAGAAGCAAAGCAUGCCAAGAAACCUUUCAAAUUUGUUAUUAGUAGAAAGACCGAAUUACUUGAACUAAUACAUUCAGAUUUAGCAAAUUUCAAGAACAUUGCUAGCAAAGGUGGAAAAAAGUAUUACGUUACUUUUGUCGAUGACUUUUCUAGAUACACUAAGGUAUAUCUUCUUAAUUCUAAAGAUGAGGCUGAAAGCAUGUUUUUGAAAUUCAAAGCAGAAGUGGAAAAUCAAUUAGACAGGAAAAUCAAGAGAUUUAGAUCGGAUAGGGGCAGUGAAUAUUGUACUAAAACUCUAAAGGAUUUUUGUGAGAAAAUGGUAUUAUACAUGAGGUUAGUGCUCCCUAUACUCCCCAACAAAAUGGUGUAGCCGAACGAAAAAAUAGAACCCUUAAAGAAAUGAUGAAUUUUAUGCUUCUAAGCUCUGGUCUAUCUGAAAAUAUGUGGGGAGAAACAGUCUUGCUUGCGUGCUAUAUUCUUAAUAGAGUCCCUCAUAAGAAGUUAGACAAGACCUCAUAUGAGUUGUGGAAAGGAUUUGCCCCUAACUUGAAAUUUUUGAAAGUGUGGGGGUGUUUGACUAAGGUUGGUCUACCUGAUUUUAAACGAGUAAAUGUUGGUUCUAAGACUUUUGAUAUUGUCUUUAUUGGUUAUGCUCAAAAUAGUGCUGCAUAUAGAUUUAUGUCUCUCAAUGAUCACACUAUUUGUGAAUCUAGCGAUGCAAAAAAUUUUGAGCAUAUUUUUUCUUUGAAAAAUAAUAUGUUGAGUGAUGUGCAAAAUAAUGCUUCUACAUCUAUGUCUGUUAAUUCUCAUGUUGUGCCUUCUUCUAAUGUUAUUUCUAAUGAGCAUGAAAAUGAACUUAGAAGGAGUAAAAGACGUAGAAUUGAGACAAGUUUUGAACCUGAUUUUAUCACUUCUUUCUUAACUGAAAAUUUGGAUAUUAAUAUUUUAAAUGAUGAAUCAGUGUCUAUCUAUUUAAUAGAAGAAGACCCUAAGACUUAUGAUGAAGCUAUGAGAUCAAUAGAUGUUAUAUUUUGGAAAGAGGUAUUAAAAGUGAAUUAGACUCUAUAGUUUCUAAUCACACUUGGAACUUGUAUGAUUUACCUAAAGGUUGUAAACUCAUAAGUAGCAAGUGGAUAUUUAAGAAGAAAUUGAGACAUGAUGGUACAAUUAAUAAAUAUAAGGCUAGAUUUGUUAUUAGGGGUUUUAACCAAAAGAAAGGAGCUCAAUUCAAUCAAAUCAUGAAAUUAGGCUGGGCUGGCCCAAUAGUCCAAGCCCAUGCCUGUGGCUAUAUUUCAAUGGAAAAUUUUUCAAAAUGUCAAAAUUUUGAUAUUUAAUAGGAUCUCUUAGCCAUACUCUUCUUUUAAUAUUUAUUUAAAAUGUCAAUAUUUUAGUUUGUUAUAUAUCUUAUGUAUGUAUUUUCUUAUUUGUAUGAUUUGCAAGAAACACAAUUAUUUAAUAACAGAAAGGAGAAAAUCAGGGGAGAUAAUAUUUAAAAAAAGGAACAUAUCACUUAAAAUUCUCACCAGUUACAAUUUCAAAGAAAUCAACUUUUUUUUUAUUAUGUUUUCAUUGUAAUUGUAUACCAAUAUUUUUUACAUUUAAUGUGUUGACUUUACCUUUCAAAUUAAAUUUGAUAUUUUACUUUCAUAGUGAAAACUACAAAUCGUAUCCCAGUGAUCAAAAUUGUAUUACAUGAUUGCCAAAUAUAUUUUUCUUUUAUUUGUAUUAUAAAAAUAUCACUGAUUGUAUCCCAAUAUAAUUAAUCAUUACAUAUGAAUAUGAUUUAUGAAAGGAUACAAGAUUCUGAAAAAAAAAAUUAGCAUACAUGGUGGAAAUAAUACAAUCUAUUGAGGAAUGAUACAAUAUUCUAAAAAAAAUUAGAAGUUGGCUAUGAAAGAAACAGAGAUACAAGAUUCUGGAAAAAAAUUUAGCAUACAUAGUGGAAAUAAUACAAUCUGUUGAGGAAUGAUACAAUAUUCUAAAAAAAAAUACAAACUGGCUGUGAAAAAAAUAGAAUACAUAUAUGCUUAAGAAAUAUGAAUCAAUUUGACAUACGUACUUGAAUGACCACAAACUUAAAAGAAAUACAAUGUUCUUAAUAAAAUUACAAAUGCUGAGAAAAACAAAAAUAAUUAACAAACAAAAAUUAAUAUGAAUACAAUCCUGGUAUGAAUACAAUUCAACUUUCUUCUCUCAAUCUCUCUUUCUUCUUCUUCUUCGUCUGCUAUGUUGUUUUUUUUCUGAUUUUUUUUUUUUAUCAAACUCAAAUCCAAAUCCGUAUUCACUUGUGCAUAUAUUAGUAACCCUAUAAACAAAAUUUGAAAUUAUUAAUUAUGAAUGUAUAAAAAAUCAAACAAUAUAUGAUGUAUGAAUGCUAAUGUAUGUAGAUUACUAUAAUCUAUUAAAUCUCAAAUAUGAAAACAAAAUCACAAAAAUAAUAAUUGAACAAUAGAGUUUAAAAGACGAAAAAUUCGAAAUACAUAGAAGAGGGAAAUCUCAUAAAAUACUUGGUGAAUAUGAGAACCUCACAAAAAAAUCAAACAAUAUUAUUCAAAGACGAAAAAUCCGAAAUACAAAAUACUUGAUAAUUGUGAAAACAAAAUCACAAGACAUCUCACAAAAUACUUGUUGACUUCGAAUUUACCUUUAUCCAUGGUUGAAAAAUCUUUUGAAUUAAUUGUGAGAUUUCUUGAACAAAGUGUAGGAAAUUGGAAGAGUUGAUUUUCUUGAAUAAGGAAAGGCGAUAACAAUGGUGAAAAGGAAAGAGAGAGAAAUGAGCAAUUUGGGGUAAAACCUAGAAAGAGAGGUAAGUGGGUAAUGGGGGUAUAAUUAUUUUUAUUUUACGGAUGAGGGAGUAAAAAAGGGUCUAACUUGAGCAUGAUUUGAGAAAUAAAAGGAAAAGAAAUUAAUUAUAUUAGGAUACAAUUAAUCUUCUAAAAUAUUGACAUAUUGACAUUUUUAAUAAUUAUUUUUAAGUGUAGAUAUUUUUUAUAAUUAUAUUAGGGAUUAUGACUAGUUUGCUAAUUUUUCCUAUUUUGAUUAUUCUUUAGAUAUGACUUCUAUAAAUAGCUAUUUGUGAACUUCACCUCAUCAUAUAUGGCAAAUUAGGCACUUUCAGGACAACAAGGGUUACAACUUUCAAUUGACAAUUGGCACAAACAGCCGCAGACGUAUAAAAGUUAUAUUUUAUAAAUUUAUAAGAGAGAAAAAGUUGAUUUAUAUUUUCAAAUAAUUAUCCUACAUUAGCAAAAAUUGCUUUCAAAGCAAUGACUUGCCACCACACAAUGUUUUAUUUUAUAAGUUAUUUUUGUUCUCAUUUUGUUAUUAAUUAUCAAACUAGUUUUGAAUAUGUAGCAAGAGUUAAUGGGAAAUGGAGGGAAGAUGAAAAGAGAGGAACUUGAAAAGUUGGGAACUUGAAGAAUUGGAAACUUGAAAAGUCCUUUUAUGCUUUAGUGAAAAGGCAUUUCUCCCUCAUCGGUGGUGGAAAGAAAAAUAAAAGAGUUUAAAUAUAGAAACACUCCUAUUAAUUGUUAAAAGGGUUGGAAAGAGGGACCCCUUCGCACCGUCGUCGUCGUCGCUCGCUCGCUCGGCUUCGGCGACAAAGUUUGUUUAAAUUAUUUAUUUAAUUAAUUAAAUUAAAUUAAAUGGCCAAAACGUCAAAAUGUUUCAAUUAAUUAGUUAAUUAACCAAAAUGUUUCGGCUAUUCAGUUAAUUGACCGACCUGACUCGGAUCCGCGCGCGACCCAUUUUAUUUAAAUUCUUUUCCGUUUUAUUUAAAUUUCCCGCCGUUGGAAGUGACUGUUCUAAAAGGUUGCAACUUUCAUGAACAGUCAUGACCGUUUGAAAGGUUGCAAACUUUCGUGAAUGGUCGUGUGGAUUCUGAAAGGGUUGAUUCUUCAGAUUUAUUAAUUACGAUUUUUUCUGAUUUCUUCUUCUUCUUCUGCACAAAGUUUCUUCAUAUACUUUACUGUUAUUGAGUGGUUCGAUGAUACCAGAGUUUUGGGUAUCAAUACACUGGUGAUUGAGAUCAUUCUAUCCUGGGAGGACAUAUUCCAAAUCAAACCUCAAAUACUAGAGGGGAAUAAUUUCUUUAAGGGGGCACUGUGCAGUCAGUGGGCUUGAUCUUUUCCGUUCUGUCUUUUUCCAGAUUCUAGUAUGUUUUUCAGAUUUUAGUUGUUCUAAAUUAAUUUCUGUUCUUCUAUUUUUACUAGUUCAUUAAAACUUUGAUUACUUCGUGUUUCUGCAAAGUUUAUUGGAAUCAGAAAUUCUGUUUUAAACACAGAUUGACAACAAUUAUAACAAAUUGUUCGAUUUCAGCAGUCCCAUAAUGGAUCAAAAAGAUUUAUAUUGAAUGUCCUGCUCCUGCCUGAACUUUCCCAUCAACCAAACCAUACUCCAUUAAUGCAUUCUUUUAGUUUUGUAUAGGUCUUCGAUCAAUAUUGAUCUCGGAGGUUUUGGUACUUCAACUCGUCCAAUGUACUUUAUUUUUCUUUAAAUAAACACAAUGGGGGUCGAUGCCGAAUCUGUUAUGAAUAUGAGAAUCAAAAGUUACGCAUUGUUAUCAAUGUAACAGUAAAGCUAGUUACAAAAUGUUAGUUACAAAAGUUUGUUAUAAUGUUAGUUAAAGGUAACUCUAGUUAAUUUAGACUAACUAGCUUGUACAGUUAAGAUACACUAUAAAUAGAGUAGUGUAGGCAUUAUUUGUAUUGUAUCAGAUUAUCAUUCAAUACAGUGAAAAGUUCUUCUUCUUUGAUUGAAUCAUCUGCUCUAUAAUUCUUCAUGGUAUCAGAGCCAUGGAUGCUCUCCUGAUGUAUUCCGCAAAUUAGGUUGUUAAACUCUUCUGCUUGCAGUGCACACGAAAGGCUCUCCAACAGAGUCUGCAUUAUCUUAGAAGCAGUCCUGUUUUUACUUCGUUUGUUGCUCCUGAUUCAGUGAAGAUCUUCAUCAAUGACGAUAGGUGAAGGCUCCAAUCCUGACACUCUUACUCCUUCAGCUGGUGGUAGAGAAGCCAUAGUUGAUUCACAUCAUCCUUUGUUUCUUCAAGCGUGUGACACUCCAGGUAGUUCACUGGUCUCUACUCAAUUAAUUGGAUCUGAAAACUAUUCUUUGUGGAGCAGGUCUAUGAAGAUAGGUCUGCUAGGCAAAUGUAAAAUAGGAUUUGUGGAUGGAUCUAGUUCUAAAGAGAAGUUUCAAGCUUCCUUCCAUAAUAUGUGGGAGAAAUGUAAUGCAAUUGUCCUUUCAUGGAUCAUGAUUUCUGUUAGUCGAGAACUUCUCAGUGGGAUAGUUUAUGCUAAUAGUGCUCAACAAGUUUGGAAUGACCUGAAGGAAAGGUUUGAUAAGGUUGAUGGAUCACGUAUAUUCUAUCUACAUAAGGAGAUUGCUACACUCACUCAAGGAAUAUUGUUUGUUUCCAUCUAUUUCUCCAGGUUUAAAGAGCUUUGGAUGGAGUUUGAUUCUCUCAUGCCCUGUCCUGGGUGUGACUGUUUAGUUUCAAAGACUUAUGCAAUUCAUUUUGAGUAUCAAAGGCUUAUGCAGUUUCUCAUAGGUCUCAAUGAGUCUUACAACCAAUGUAGAAGCCAAAUUAUGAUGAUGGAUCAUGUUCCCAGUGUGAACAAAGCCUAUUCACUAGUGAUUGUAGAAGAGAGUCAGAGGAUCCUUGGUAAGGCAAAUACUGUUGUUGAGAUGCCUUCUAACCAUGGAUACAAGAGGCUCUAGCCUUCUUUAGUGGCAGUAAUCAUACCUACUCAGGCUCCAGAGGAUCGGGAUCUGGUGGUCCUGGUACUACUGGAUCUACUUCCAGACCUAAGAAGCCAUUUAACAGUUAUUGUUUUGUGAUUACUGUAAUUGGAAAGGUCACACAAGGGAUCACUGCUACAAACUUCAUGGUUAUCCAUCUGACUGGAAAGGUAAGAAGAAAAUCAGUCCUGGUUCAACUAGCACAACUAGUUUUGCUGCUGCUAGUUCUGGUCCUAGUAGCCUCUCAAGCAGAUCUCCAUCAGGUGUUAGCAAUACUGGUGUCUCUCAUGCAUUUAUGACUAACCUGCAGCAUCAACAGUUUCAACCUCAUGCAACUUCACAGCCACAACAUCCUCAUUUCUCCCACCAGCAGUACAUGCGGAUCCUGCAAUUGCUAGAUCAGGGAAAUGGGAAGACUACCGCUGAUGCUCUUGUGUCUACCUCAGGUACAUCAGGUUUGUUUCCUACUUCCAAGUGGAUAUUUGAUUCAGGAGCUUCCAAACAUAUGGUUCAUAGUCUGCGUAUGCUCAAUCACUAUACUACCUUGUCUGAGUCUCACGAAGGAAAAAUGUAUCUUCCUACUGGCAAUCUUGCACCAGUUAGUCAUAUUGGCUCAUCUCAGAUCUUAGGAGGGGCUGAGAUCACUAAUAUGCUUCAUGUUCCUACUUUUCAAUACAACUUAUUAUCUGUUCCUAGACUAACAAAGGAGUUGAAAUGCAGUGUUAUGUUCUAUCCUAAUUUCUGCAUUUUCCAGGACCUCUCCAAUGGAAAAGUGAGGGGGAUUGGCAAGUUGGAGAAUGACAUGUAUGUGAUUACUGCUGACUGUCAUUUGCAUUCUCAAGGAGCAGAAUUGAGUUCACCUAAAGAUCAAGCUAUUGCAGUUUCUAAGUCUUGUCUUGUACCUUCUUUACAUUCAUCUAGAAUAAGUCUAUCAUUGUGGCAUAAAUGCCUAGGUCAUGUACCUUUUAAUACUCUUAGACAAUUUAGUUCUUUGCAACAGUUGCAUCCUACUACUGAUGCACCUUAUACUGUAUGCCCUUUAGCUAAACAAUCAAGACUAUCUUUUCCUUUAAGUGCUACUUCUACUACUGCUUGCUUUCAACUUUUACACGCUGAUGUAUGGGGUCCCUAUAGAGUUCCAACUCAUGAUAAUAACAGGUAUUUUUUAACCUUAGUAGAUGACUACUCAAGGUAUACCUGGAUAGUUUUGCUUCCCUCCAAAUCUGAGGUCAUAGUUGCACUCAAAAAUUUUCUUAUUAUGGUUGCAAAUGUUUUCUCUUCCUUAGUCAAAAUAUUAACGACAGAUAAUGGCUGUGAGUUUUUUAAUUCCCAAAUGACUGUUCUCCUGGAGUCUCUAGGUAUUUUACACCAAAGUUCAUGCAUAUAUACCCCUCAACAAAAUGGAGUUGUUGAAAGGAAACAUAGACAUAUACUUAAUGUUGCUAGAGCCUUGAGGUUUCAAUCUAGCAUGCCUCUUAAAUUUUGGGGUGAGUGUGCUCUUACUAGUGUCUAUUUGAUCAACAGAUUGCCUUCAUCUAUUUUACACAACAAGACAUCUUAUGAGUUGCUUUAUCUUAGAUCUCUUUCUCUUGAUCAUCUUCGAGUCUUUGCGUGUCUUGCUUUUGCUUCUGAAGUCAGAAAGGUUGACAAGUUUACUCCCAGAGCUUUCCCUACUGUGUUCUUGGGGUAUUCUACAUUACAAAAAGGGUACAAAUUGUUUUCUCUUCAUACUUAAGAGUUCUUAGUGUCCAGAGAUGUAGUUUUCAAAGAGGACAUAUUUCUCUUUACUCAAACCACUUCCUCAUGUCCUCCUUUGUUUCCUAUCUUUCAGUUUACAGAGUCCUUUACUAAGUCCACUCCAGUUCCUCCCAUUGCUACUCUUUAUUCUUCUCUUUGUCCAGCUUCUAUAGUAUCUGAAUGUCCCUUUUCUCCUGCCUAUGCAUCUGAUAUGUCUGCAACUGUUCCCUUAAGAAGAUCCUCUAGAAAUUCCAAACCUCCAAUUUGGCUUCAUGACUAUGUUACUACUCAGCCUAAGUCCACUUGUCUUUAUCCUUUAUCCAAUCAUGUCAGCUAUCGCCAUUUGUAUCCACUUUAUGGCUUAGCCUUAGCUGCAUAUUCCAGCAUCCUUAAGCCUAAGUCUUCCAUAAGGCUGCUCUUAAUCCUUUGUGGGUCGUAGCUAUGCAAGCUAAGAUCAAAGCCUUGGAAGAGAAUCAUACCUGGUCUAUCACUGAUCUUCCUUCUGAUAAACAUCCAAUUGGCUGUAAAUGGGUGUUUAAGGUGAAAUAUCUUGCAUCUGGUGCUGUUGAAAGAUACUAGGCUAGACUUGUUGCAAAGGGGUUCAAUCAGAAAGAAGGCUUGGAUUAUUCUGAAACUUUCUCCCAUGUUGCUAAGAUGGUUACUGUGCGGUCUGUUCUAGCUGUGGCCUCUGCUAAACACUGGCUUGUGUUCCAAAUGGAUGUCCAUAAUGCAUUUCUCCAAGGUGACCUGGUUGAGGAUAUGUAUACGGUUGUUCCUCCAGGCUUUUGCAGACAGGUGGAGUCUGGUAAAGUCUGCAAAUUACACAAGUCACUAUAUGGUUUAAAGCAGACACCUAGGCAAUGGAAUUUUAAACUAAUAGAAGCAUUACUUCAGCUGGGAUUUGUUCAAAGCCACUAUGACUAUUCUCUAUUUACCAGAAGUGAAAAUAAAAAGUUGAUAAUAAUUCUUGUUUAUGUUGAUGACCUUCUGAUAACUAGAAGCUGCAAGAAGCUGAUUGACAGGACCGGGAAUGAUCUGCAACUUAAAUUCAAAAUGAAAGACCUAGGAGAAUUGAAGUUUUUCCUUGGAAUUGAAUUCGCCAGAUCAAAAGAAGGUUAUAUUAUGAGCCAACGUAAGUAUGCCUUGGAACUUGUCUCAGAAAUGGGUCUAAGUGGUGCCAAGCCAGUCAACACUCCACUGGAUCCAAACCUCAGACUAACCUCUAUUGAAUAUGACUCACAUGUACAAGAGGCAAACACUACAUCAAGUGACAAACCUUUGGAAGAUAUUGGUAGAUAUCAAAGCCUUGUAGGGAAACUGUUGUAUCUAACUAUGACCAGGGUAGAUAUCUCCUUUGCAGUACAAGUUCUAAGUCAAUAUAUGCAUGCACCCAAAGAGUCUCAUAUGGAAGCUACACUUAGAGUAGUCAAAUACAUCAAGUCAGCUCCAGGUUUGGGUUUGUUUAUGCCCUCACAAGAUUCUAAUCAAUUGACUGUUUACUGUGACUCUGAUUGGGGUACUUGCUUACAAACGAGAAGAUCUGUGACUGGAUACUUAGUGAAGUUUGGAAAUGCUCUUGUAUCUUGGAAGGCAAAGAAGCAAGAAACAAUUGCUAAAAGUUCUGCAGAAGCUGAGUUUAGGAGUAUGGCAUCUGCAGUAGCUGAAAUUACUUGGCUCAUUGGCAUACACAGUGAACUAGGAGUAACCAUCAAACAACCAGUUGAUCUAUUCUGUGACAGCAAGGCUGCAAUUCAGAUUGCAGCCAACCCUAUUUUUCAUGAGCGAACUAAGCAUUUUGAUAUUGAUUGCUAUUUUGUUAGAGAGAAACUGCUUAAAAAAAUGAUUCAGACACAUCAUGUAUCCACAAAAGAUCAGCUGGCAGAUCUGCUCACAAAAGGUUUAUGGAAAGCUCCACACUCACAUCUUAUGUCCAAGCUGGGAAUGAAAGACAUUUUUCAGCCAUCAGCUUGAGGAUGGGUGUUAUGAAUAUGAGAAUCAAAAGUUACGCAUUGUGAUCAAUGUAACAGUAAAGUUAGUUACAAAAGUUUGUUAUAAUGUUAGUUAAAGGUAACUCUAGUUAAGUUAGACUAACUAGCUUGUACAGUUAAGAUACACUAUAAAUAGAGUAGUGUAGGCAUUAUUUGUAUUGUAUUAGAUUAUCAUUCAACACACAGAAAAGUUCUUCUUUGAUUGAAUCCUCUGCUCUGUAAUUCUUCAGAAUCCCCUAUCACCACCGAAGGUGAAAGCCUGGAUGGAUGAUAUUAAAAUAAAAAUAAAAACGAGACCUUCAGCCUUUAGAACAAAAGAGAUUAUAAUGCAACUUAAUGUCAUCUAGUCCAAAUUUUGCACUAAGAGAAAUUCACUGCCGGUAAUAUAAUAAGAUAUAUGCUUUUGCUGAGAAAUAUUGGAAACAGAUUUUGUCAGCAUAAAAUGCACUUCUUGUUGGUUGUUAGGUAAUUAGACUUGCUUUCAACUUUCAAGCAUAACGAAUAGUUUAGUUCAACAUGUAUAGUAGAAAAAACAAUAGGCAAAAAAUGGUCUAAAUUUCAAAUGAUUGGUCGACGAAUAUAGAAAAGACUUAGAAUAGCAAUUCAUCUUCUGUAGGAAACAAGUACUGGUCUAUCUAUCAAGUUGGUAAUUUCAAAAAUCAUCAAUACUUCCAACCAAAACAAAUUGAAUUAGUUAAUUGUACUCCCAAAGUAAAAGGAUAUUACACUUUUAGUCACUAAGAGGUAGUUUGACCGGAGAUAUUAGAGAAAAUAAUAUUUGUAUUAGCUUUGAUACUACAUAAUUUAUUGUUUGGUAUACCUAUAUAAUUAAUUAUAUAGAGUGAUACAUUAUAUUCAGUAUUAUUAUAUAUUCACCAUGACAUUAACAAUAUAUACUAGUACUAUUCCUAUAUAUUCUAGUACAGUAUACUCCAAUUGGAUUACAUUUUUUAGAAAUUUAUACGAUAUAUAAUAUAUAUGUGUUAGUAUUUGAUGCAACAAACCAGACAAACGAUAAAUGAAAUAUCAGCAUGAACAUUACUAACCAUAUUAAGUAGUAUUCUUAUGUGGCAUUUCAAUCCCUAAAAGAUAAUAAUUACAUAUAAGUAUAUAACCAUUUAUAAAAGGCAAGACUUCGUUACACUACGACAAAGUGAUAUUUAGUGGGAAUCGAUUUUUCUCUUAGUAUUGCCACAAAAAAAAAUUGCGACAAUAUUUUGCGAUAAUUGAGUUAAUUCAAAGAUGCUACAGUUUUUCACGAUAUUUAUAUAGAAUGCUGAUAGUAAGUAUCAAAAAUUAUUAUUAUUAUUAAAUAUAUUAUAACAAUUAGAAUCUUAUUUUAAUCAAUCAAAUUUUAGUCAUUAAUUCUUGCAUAUGCCAUGUGUCUCACAUCCAAGCAAGAACUUGGGAAAAAUGAAGAAAAGAGAAAUAGAGAGUAACCGGAUCCAUUAUAAGGCAUAUUGUCAUUUGUCCGUAUUUAUAAGUUAAAUUUUAAAAAAAUUCAAACAACUGCCAGUGGCCAUAAAUGAAAAUGAUGCAUCCAGAAAAAUACGUCUGGACCUUCUGUAGUAAGGAAUGGUCUCUUCCAAGUCCAAUAAAAAAGACUGCAAAGUCCAUCCACUACUACUGUAACAUGAGGCUAAACUGCACUCUCAAUACAUAGAAAAAUUAACCAACAAUGCAUUAUCUAUCACACAUUCAUAUCCUGGAUGAGAUAAGAUUCACCAUCUUCCGACACGUGGCACUUCUAUUCUUGUCUAUUAAAAUAAAAGACACUUAGCUCCAAUUUCUUAUCUUUCAUGUGGCCAUUAAAUUUUGUAAUAUCAACAGCCACAUAAUCCAAUGGUCACCCUUCAUCUAAGAUGAGGUUUCCUUUGUUUCUAUCCGUUAGAUUAAAAAAAACGUCUAACACCUUAUCAUUAUAUAAAGGGAGUAAGCCACAGUGUAAUAAGCAUCUUAAAAAAAAAACAAGUUUCUUUGAAGUAAAAAAAAAAAAAACGUUUUAUAGCUAAGUAGUAACGUAAUGGCUUCCUCAAUUGUCUCCUCAGCAGCCGUUGCUACCCGUAGCAAUGUUGCUCAAGCUAGCAUGGUCGCACCCUUCACCGGACUCAAAUCCGCCGCGUCUUUCCCCGUUACUAAGAAGAACAACAACGUUGACAUUACUUCCCUUGCUAGCAACGGUGGACGUGUUAGAUGCAUGCAGGUUCAAAUAAUAAUUAUCAGUAUAUAUAUAUAAAAUUUAAAUUAACUAGUUGUCGUUUAUUUAUAAAAUAAAUGUGUUAAUGUAGGUGUGGCCACCAAUUAACAUGAAGAAAUACGAGACAUUGUCAUACCUUCCUGACUUGUCCGAUGAGCAAUUGCUCAAGGAAGUUGAGUACCUUUUGAAAAAUGGAUGGGUUCCUUGCUUGGAAUUCGAGACUGAGGUCAAUAUCUCCUACAUACUUUUACAUGUGUAAUUUAAUUUGUUGAAGGAGAAAAUAAAUGUAUGUUAUAUUGUUGUGUACAGCACGGAUUUGUGUACCGUGAGCACAACAGCUCACCAGGAUACUACGAUGGUAGAUACUGGACCAUGUGGAAGUUGCCUAUGUUUGGGUGCACUGACGCAACCCAGGUGUUGGCUGAGGUUCAAGAGGCCAAGAAUGCGUACCCACAGGCCUGGAUCCGUAUUAUCGGAUUCGACAACGUUCGUCAAGUGCAGUGCAUCAGUUUCAUUGCCUACAAGCCAGAAGGAUACUAAAUUUCAUCAAACCUAUAAUUAAUUACUCCUAUCGACAUGUUUUUUGCGUUUUGUACCGGUGUAUUUUCCUCGAUUCCGACCAAGUUAUGAGAAAUUAAUAAUGAUGAAUCUUUAAUUAUAUGUUUUUUUGUGGUGUGUAUGAGUUUUAUUAUCCAAACUAAAAAUCUCUCUUUAAAUAUGAAAACGACACAUUAACUACUCCUUUUAUCCUAACAACUUUAGCACAACGAUUAAAUAGCCACCGCAUGUGACAUUAAUUAUCUUAAAUGAAAAGAAUUGUAUCACAUUGAGACAUCGAUUCAAUAAUUAGUGAGAAUGAAAAAGACUUCAUUUUCUGCCUGGAAAAAUGCCGUAACUUAAGUAAGAUUUUUUUUUUAUUUCACAAAUUAGUGAAUUCAAAUCUUACACUUUUGAUUCAUCAAUGUAAAAAGAAUAAAUUAAAAAUCCUAUUAUUUGUAUUAUUUAUGUGAGGCACAAAAUAAAUAUCUUCGUAAGAGUAACCAACCUUCUAGGCUUAUCAUGAUCAGUUGGGCCCUGGAUGUUUACACUUGUGGCCACUGGCCAUGCUCAACAAGGACCGGUCAAUUAUUGUAUUUUGUUGUUAUCCUUUUGUCUUUUUUAUUGGUUUUUUUUUUUAAAGAGUUUGAAGUUUUAUGUAUCGAAUAGUUGAUAUGUUAAUAGUUAUUAAAUACAAAUUUAUAUAUAUAUUCUAAAUUAACGUAUAAUAUACAUAAAUGGUGUAUAAUUUUUUUAUAUUUGACUAACGGCUAAAAUUCAUUUAAAUUGAGCAAGUAAAUGUAUUAUGACCCCUAAAUUUUUUUAGCUCAAACACCAAUUUAGUGAUUUUUGCUUUAAAAAAACUGAAAAUUGUAUUGUUGGUGAUCAGUAGAAAGUGUUGAAGAAGAGAAAUCAUUGUAAGUUUGAAGAAGAGAAAAUACAUAAAACUCCCCCCUAAACUUGGCAGUACAACUUACUUUAGCACUUAAACUACACAGGCUUUUAAUAUCCCCAUUAACAUCUUUGAAGUGAAUUAAAUACAACUCUAAAUACUGACUCCUCCACAGCGAUAGCACUACUGGAGCAUGACCAUUCGCAAUACACUAACAUUAUAUCUGAAUGCAGGUCACUAAUGCAGCAGGGGAAUACCAAAACCACUCCACACAUUCAGGGAGUAGAACAAGGUGGCGGACAUACUGGCUAAAAUGGGUAGGACAAUACAAUCCAACAGCGGGAGGAUGCAGAUUUUGGAAGCCCCACCACAUUAUGCCUUCAAAGCAUGGGAAGCUGACAAGAAUGGGCUUUAUUUUGAUAGAAUGGUAGUAGUAACUAGUCCCAACGAGACAACGGAGAAUCCCCCUAUUUCAAACUAUGUAAUGAACAAUGAAGUCCGUGUGCUUCACCUUUAAGCUUUUUAUAUAAUUACUCUAUUUCUAUCAAAAACAAAUAAAUACAACCCUGAGAAUAGAAUACCACUCUCACCUGUCACAUCAUAACCAUGUAAGCACCACGUCAUUAAUUUUCAAUCUUUUUUUUGCUUAUUCACCUUUUCUCUUAACCAUUUUCUUAAAAUUUAUUACACUAAUCAAUUAAUUUAAAAUACAUUUUAAAAUCAAAAUUGCCCCAUCUUCUUCCACCCCUUCUCUUCUACCCCCCCCCCCCUACUCUUUC